This is a long non-coding RNA of Hypanus sabinus (Atlantic stingray), 822 nucleotides long. RefSeq lists it as uncharacterized. The transcript is spliced from 3 exons. The record is from RefSeq and is a predicted model, not a curated record. NCBI's taxonomy places the organism in Eukaryota, Metazoa, Chordata, Chondrichthyes, Myliobatiformes, Dasyatidae.
GUCAAUUCAACUGAUACAGUACCGUUCUUUUUGACAGUUUUGAUGACCAUGACGGAGUUGGUCCAUUGGGGAUUGUUGGGGCCGGACACAGUCCUUUCAGGAGGGGCAGUACUUCACCUGUGAAUCUGCUGGGAUCCUUUAAUGUUACUGGUGCUCUCGAUGCAGCCUCCUCCACGUCGGUGACAUCCUGGUGAAAAUCCAACGUUUCCACAUCCUAACUGUACUCAAGACCAGAACUGCACACAAUACUCCAGAUGUGGCCUGACCAAGACUUUAUACUGUUGAAAAGUAAAUUUCUGACACUUAUACUCAGCAUCUUUUCUGUUGAAGGCAACUAAUUCAUAUCUUCUUUAACAUCAUAUAUGCUUAUGCUUUUUUCCCAGAGCAUAAUUAAACCUAACAGCUUUACACAUGCAAAGCUUGUCUCUUCUCUGAAUUUCAAUUGUCUUCAAUCCAACUUCAGUUGUCUGCACAGUGAGACAGGGAACAGGCAGGCCCUGAAGACACGUGUCCCCAAAGCCAACUGGAAGACCAGCACUCCAACUGCCUUCUCCAGCUGCAUUUUUGUGUGUCCUUCAACUUUACCAGUGCAUCUUAUCUGUUUGGCACAAGGAAUUUAAGACACUGUAACUCUUAGUCUUCUAGUUUCUGCCACUACUCCCAGCUUGUCUCUCACACCUGAAUCAGAGGAUUAAAUAAACUGCAUUUUGAAAGAUACAGAUCUUUGUAAGUUUCUUGUCACAUGAAGGUCAGAGUAAACAGUAUACAUGUUAAUGAUAAAUCCAGUCAAUACAGUGAUAAGAGAAUGUUGCAAAGUUUUGU